AAGACCUAGUAAUAGGUAUGCUUUAGGAGGGGCUUGCGCCAUAUUAGUUAGUUGGUAGGGUAAUGGCCUACCAAGACGAUGAUGUGUAGCUGGACUGAGAGGUUGAACAGCCACAUUGGGACUGAGACACGGCCCAAACUCCUACGGGAGGCAGCAGUAGGGAAUUUUCGGCAAUGGAGGAAACUCUGACCGAGCAACGCCGCGUGAAUGACGAAGUACUUCGGUAUGUAAAGUUCUUUUAUCAAGGAAGAAAAGCAAAUGGCGAACCAUUUGUUUGCCGGUACUUGAUGAAUAAGCCCCGGCUAAUUAUGUGCCAGCAGCCGCGGUAAGACAUAAGGGGCAAGUGUUAUCCGGAAUUAUUGGGCGUAAAGGGUGCGUAGGCGGUCUAGUAAGUCAGUGGUGUAAUGGCAACGCUUAACGUUGUCCGGCUAUUGAAACUGCUAAACUUGAGUUAGAUAGAGGCGAGUGGAAUUCCAUGUGUAGCGGUAAAAUGCGUAAAUAUAUGGAGGAACACCAGAGGCGUAGGCGGCUCGCUGGGUCUUAACUGACGCUGAGGCACGAAAGCGUGGGGAGCAAACAGGAUUAGAUACCCUGGUAGUCCACGCCGUAAACGAUGAGUACUAAGUGUCGGGUUAAACCGGUACUGAAGUUAACACAUUAAGUACUCCGCCUGAGUAGUACGUACGCAAGUAUGAAACUUAAAGGAAUUGACGGGACUCCGCACAAGCGGUGGAUCAUGUUGUUUAAUUCGAAGAUACCCGAAAAACCUUACCAGGUCUUGACAUGUUUUUGCAAAAUGAUAGUAAUAUCGUGGAGGUUACCAGAAACACAGGUGGUGCAUGGUUGUCGUCAGCUCGUGUCGUGAGAUGUUAGGUUAAGUCCUAAAACGAGCGAAACCCUUAUCGUUAGUUGCCAGCACGUUAUGGUGGGGACUUUAACGAGACUGCCAAUGAUAAAUUGGAGGAAGGUGAGGAUCACGUCAAAUCAGCAUGCCCCUUAUGACCUGGGCUACAAACGUGAUACAAUGGCUGUUACAAAGGGUAGCUGAAACGCAAGUUCUUGGCCAAUCCCCAAAAACAGUCCCAGUCCGGAUUGAAGUCUGCAACUCGACUUCAUGAAGUUGGAAUCGCUAGUAAUCGCGAAUCAGC
RNAcentral lists this ribosomal RNA (1148 nucleotides) under Phytoplasma sp. Its description in RNAcentral is "bacterial SSU rRNA". It matches the Rfam family "Bacterial small subunit ribosomal RNA", at positions 198 to 1353 of the family's 1533-position model. Lineage: Bacteria; Bacillati; Mycoplasmatota; Mollicutes; Acholeplasmatales; Acholeplasmataceae. The record is from RNAcentral.